This 492-nucleotide ribosomal RNA is filed under the name uncultured bacterium. Its description in RNAcentral is "partial 16S ribosomal RNA". It matches the Rfam family "Bacterial small subunit ribosomal RNA", at positions 29 to 507 of the family's 1533-position model. The record is from RNAcentral.
AGUGAACGCUGGCGGUAGGCCUAACACAUGCAAGUCGAACGGCAGCACAGUAAGAGCUUGCUCUUACGGGUGGCGAGUGGCGGACGGGUGAGGAAUACAUCGGAAUCUACUUUUUCGUGGGGGAUAACGUAGGGAAACUUACGCUAAUACCGCAUACGACCUACGGGUGAAAGCAGGGGAUCUUCGGACCUUGCGCGAUUGAAUGAGCCGACGUCGGAUUAGCUAGUUGGCGGGGUAAAGGCCCACCAAGGCGACGAUCCGUAGCUGGUCUGAGAGGAUGAUCAGCCACACUGGAACUGAGACACGGUCCAGACUCCUACGGGAGGCAGCAGUGGGGAAUAUUGGACAAUGGGCGAAAGCCUGAUCCAGCCAUACCGCGUGGGUGAAGAAGGCCUUCGGGUUGUAAAGCCCUUUUGUUGGGAAAGAAAAGCAGCAGGUUAAUACCCCGCUGUUCUGACGGUACCCAAAGAAUAAGCACCGGCUAACUUCGUG